AGGCGUAACACAUGCAAGUCGAACGAAGUCUUCGGAGUUAGUGGCGCACGGGUGAGUAACACGUGGGAAUAUACCUUACGGUGGGGGAUAACAUCGGGAAACUGAUGCUAAUACCGCAUACGCCCUUCGGGGGAAAGAUUUAUCGGCGAAAGAUUAGCCCGCGUCCGAUUAGCUAGUUGGUGAGGUAAUGGCUCACCAAGGCUACGAUCGGUAGCUGGUCUGAGAGGAUGAUCAGCCACACUGGGACUGAGACACGGCCCAGACUCCUACGGGAGGCAGCAGUGGGGAAUAUUGGACAAUGGGCGCAAGCCUGAUCCAGCCAUGCCGCGUGAGUGAUGAAGGCCUUAGGGUUGUAAAGCUCUUUCUCCCGGUGACGAAGAUGACGUAACUCUAGAAGAGCCCAUCC
RNAcentral lists this ribosomal RNA (406 nucleotides) under uncultured Dechlorospirillum sp. RNAcentral describes it as "bacterial SSU rRNA". It matches the Rfam family "Bacterial small subunit ribosomal RNA", at positions 44 to 479 of the family's 1533-position model. Lineage: Bacteria; Pseudomonadati; Pseudomonadota; Alphaproteobacteria; Rhodospirillales; Rhodospirillaceae. The record is from RNAcentral.